GUGAAUCAUCAAAUUUUUGAACGCAAAUUGCACUCUCUGGUAUUCCGGAGAGCAUGCCUGUUUGAGGGUCAGUAUAAAUAAAAACCGGUGUGGUUGCUGCCUUUCGUGGUGACGCAGCGGAUGAGGGUCGUCUCGCCUUCGGUUAAGUGACCUAAAAUUCCGCAUGAUUAUUUUGAACGUAUUUAAAUGAUUUUACGUAUGUUUGCGAUAUUGAAUACUAGGUGUGGUCAUUCUCAUGACUCGUGCCUAUAAUUUUUCAUUAAAA
RNAcentral lists this unclassified non-coding RNA (265 nucleotides) under Glomus sp. RNAcentral's name for it is "partial contains 5.8S ribosomal RNA and internal transcribed spacer 2". The stretch from base 1 to 71 matches the Rfam family "5.8S ribosomal RNA", at positions 84 to 154 of the family's 154-position model. Lineage: Eukaryota; Fungi; Glomeromycota; Glomeromycetes; Glomerales; Glomeraceae. The record is from RNAcentral.